CCUACGGGUGGCAGCAGUGGGGGAUAUUGCACAAUGGGGGGAACCCUGAUGCAGCGACGCCGCGUGGGUGAAGAAGCGCCUCGGCGCGUAAAGCCCUGUCAGCAGGGAAGAAAAUGACGGUACCUGAAGAAGAAGCCCCGGCUAACUACGUGCCAGCAGCCGCGGGAAUACGUAGGGGGCAAGCGUUAUCCGGAUUUACUGGGUGUAAAGGGGGCGCAGACGGCAAUGCAAGCCAGGAGUGAAAGCCCGGGGCCCAACCCCGGGACUGCUCUUGGAACUGCAUGGCUGGAGUACAGGAGGGGCAGGCGGAAUUCCUAGUGUAGCGGUGAAAUGCGUAGAUAUUAGGAGGAACACCGGUGGCGAAGGCGGCCUGCUGGACUGUGACUGACGUUGAGGCCCGAAGGCGUGGGGAGCAAACAGGAUUAGAUACCCGAGUAGUC
RNAcentral lists this ribosomal RNA (440 nucleotides) under uncultured bacterium. RNAcentral describes it as "partial 16S ribosomal RNA". It matches the Rfam family "Bacterial small subunit ribosomal RNA", at positions 338 to 795 of the family's 1533-position model. The record is from RNAcentral.